GCUAGUGUGGCUUAGUGGUUGGAGUGUUGGACUAGGACUCUGGAGACCAGGGUUUGAUUCCCAGCUCAGCC
RNAcentral lists this transfer RNA (71 nucleotides) under Phrynosoma platyrhinos (Desert horned lizard). RNAcentral describes it as "tRNA-OTHER". The record is from RNAcentral. Lineage: Eukaryota; Metazoa; Chordata; Lepidosauria; Squamata; Phrynosomatidae.